GCCUCAGUGGGUGUAGUAGUAGAGCACGCGUCCCCGGAUAGGAUGAAACGUGGGUUUCAAUUCCCGCCUGAGGCC
Molecule: non-coding RNA, 75 nt
Organism: Parelaphostrongylus tenuis
Lineage: Eukaryota; Metazoa; Nematoda; Chromadorea; Rhabditida; Metastrongylidae
Source: the annotation of a GenBank genome assembly